UAACAAUCCAACAAACCAAUGAGGUCAUAGUAUAAUGGUCAACUGCUCACUAAACAGGUAAUUGCAGGUUUUAAGCCUUAUACUAGGUAUCCUUCACGUCAUGCAAAGCAGUAAACAAUGCAGGUUGAGAGACCUACUUCUGUGCGAAAAAUUUUGCCAAGAUAUACAUUACUUUAUUUACAGAAAUAUCAAAAAGAUUUGGAAAAACGACCUUGCUGGUAUCAAAUUCAAGAACAAAAGGAACAUGUCAUAGUAUAUCCAACGCUUGACGCUGACAGACACUGCUUGUGUUUAUGCUUUUUUCACUUUGGAAACUUGUUAAGACACUAUUAUAGUGAGGAAUUAUAUUCCAAUCAACAAGAAA
This 364-nucleotide unclassified non-coding RNA is filed under the name Hevea brasiliensis (rubber tree). The record is from RNAcentral. Lineage: Eukaryota; Viridiplantae; Streptophyta; Magnoliopsida; Malpighiales; Euphorbiaceae.